This 419-nucleotide ribosomal RNA is filed under the name bacterium. RNAcentral describes it as "partial 16S ribosomal RNA". It matches the Rfam family "Bacterial small subunit ribosomal RNA", at positions 355 to 776 of the family's 1533-position model. The record is from RNAcentral.
UGGGGGAUAUUGCACAAUGGGCGAAAGCCUGAUGCAGCGACGCCGCGUGGGGGAUGAAGGCCUUCGGGUUGUAUACUUCUUUUGCUCUGAACAAGGCGCACCAUGGGGUGUGUUGAGUGUAGGGGUUGAUUAGCGCCGGCUAACUACGUGCCAGCAGCCGCGGUAAUACGUAGGGCGCGAGCGUUGUCCGGAAUUAUUGGGCGUAAAGGGCUUGUAGGUGGCUGGUUGCGUCUGUCGUGAAAGCUCAUGGCUUAACUGUGGGUUUGCGGUGGGUACGGGCUGGCUUGAGUGCAGUAGGUGAGGCUGGAAUUCCUGGUGUAGCGGUGGAAUGCGCAGAUAUCAGGAGGAAUACCGGUGGCGAAGGCGGGUCUCUGGGCUGUUACUGACACUGAGGAGCGAAAGCAUGGGGAGCGAACAGG